This 301-nucleotide ribosomal RNA is filed under the name uncultured bacterium. RNAcentral's name for it is "partial 16S ribosomal RNA". It matches the Rfam family "Bacterial small subunit ribosomal RNA", at positions 509 to 807 of the family's 1533-position model. The record is from RNAcentral.
CAGUAGCCGCGGGAAUACAGGGGGUGCAAGCGUUAAUCGGAUUUACUGGGCGUAAAGGGCGCGUAGGUGGUUAUGUAAGUGAGAUGUGAAAUCCCCGGGCUCAACCUGGGAACUGCAUCUUAUACUGCGUAGCUGGAGUGCAGUAGAGGGUAGUGGAAUUUCCGGUGUAGCGGUGAAAUGCGUAGAUAUCGGAAGGAACACCAGUGGCGAAGGCGGCUACCUGGACUGACACUGACACUGAGGCGCGAAAGCGUGGGGAGCAAACAGGAUUAGAUACCCCCGUAGUCCCUGUCUCUUAUAC